RNAcentral lists this ribosomal RNA (253 nucleotides) under uncultured bacterium. RNAcentral's name for it is "partial 16S ribosomal RNA". It matches the Rfam family "Archaeal small subunit ribosomal RNA", at positions 474 to 727 of the family's 1478-position model. The record is from RNAcentral.
UACCAGCACCCCGAGUGGUCGGGACGAUUAUUGGGCCUAAAGCAUCCGUAGCCGGCCUUACAAGUCCUCCGUUAAAUCCAGCUGCUUAACAGAUGGGCUGCGGAGGAUACUAUAAGACUAGGAGGCAGGAGAGGCAAGCGGUACUCAGUGGGUAGGGGUAAAAUCCGUUGAUCCAUUGAAGACCACCAGUGGCGAAGGCGGCUCACUGGUCCGGUUCUGACGCUGAGGCGCGAAAGCGUGGGGAGCAAACAGG